Long non-coding RNA from Humulus lupulus (European hop), 349 nucleotides. RefSeq lists it as uncharacterized. The record is from RefSeq and is a predicted model, not a curated record. The transcript is spliced from 3 exons. NCBI's taxonomy places the organism in Eukaryota, Viridiplantae, Streptophyta, Magnoliopsida, Rosales, Cannabaceae.
CAGGGAUGCUGGGUUUCACAUUCUUAUCACCAGCUAUCAGCUACUUGUUUCUGAUGAGAAGUACUUUCGGCGGGUGAAAUGGCAAUAUAUGGUGUUGGAUGAAGCCCAAGCAAUUAAAAGUUCAAACAGUAUAAGAUGGAGGACACUGCUUAGUUUUAAUUGCCGAAAUAGGCUUCUGCUUACUGGCACUCCAAUCCAAAAUAAUAUGGCAGAGUUGUGGGCCUUACUACAUUUCAUUAUGCCAACCUUAUUUGAUAGUCACGAACAGUUUAAUGAGUGGUUUUCUAAAGGAAUUGAGAGCCAUGCAUAACAUGGUGGUACUUUGAAUGAGCACCAGCUUAACCGAUUG